CCUACGGGUGGCAGCAGUGGGGAAUAUUGGUCAAUGGGCGAGAGCCUGAACCAGCCAAGUCGCGUGAGGGAGGAAGGUCCUGUGUAUUGUAAACCUCUUUUGUCGGGGAGCAAAAGACGCCCCGUGUGGCCUUCCGAGUGUACCCGAAGAAAAAGCAUCGGCUAACUCCGUGCCAGCAGCCGCGGUAAUACGGAGGAUGCGAGCGUUAUCCGGAUUUAUUGGGUUUAAAGGGUGCGCAGGCGGAAGGUCAAGUCAGCGGUAAAAUUGAGGGGCUCAACCUCUUCGAGCCGUUGAAACUGGGUUUCUUGAGUUAGUGAGAAGUAUGCGGAAUGCGUGGUGUAGCGGUGAAAUGCAUAGAUAUCACGCAGAACUCCGAUUGCGAAGGCAGCAUACCGGCGCCCAACUGACGCUCAGGCACGAAAGUGUGGGUAUCGAACAGGAUUAGAUACCCUUGUAGUC
This 459-nucleotide ribosomal RNA is filed under the name uncultured bacterium. RNAcentral's name for it is "partial 16S ribosomal RNA". It matches the Rfam family "Bacterial small subunit ribosomal RNA", at positions 338 to 795 of the family's 1533-position model. The record is from RNAcentral.